RNAcentral lists this ribosomal RNA (429 nucleotides) under Chloroflexota bacterium. Its description in RNAcentral is "Chloroflexi bacterium partial 16S ribosomal RNA". It matches the Rfam family "Bacterial small subunit ribosomal RNA", at positions 355 to 776 of the family's 1533-position model. Lineage: Bacteria; Bacillati; Chloroflexota. The record is from RNAcentral. RNAcentral also lists the same sequence under 1 other name.
UAGGGAAUCUUCGGCAAUGGACGAAAGUCUGACCGAGCAACGCCGCGUGAGUGAAGAAGGUUUUCGGAUCGUAAAACUCUGUUGUUAGAGAAGAACAAGGACGUUAGUAACUGAACGUCCCCUGACGGUAUCUAACCUGAAAGCCACGGCUAACUACGUGCCAGCAGCCGCGGUAAUACGUAGGUGGCAAGCGUUGUCCGGAUUUAUUGGGCGUAAAGCGAGCGCAGGCGGUUUCUUAAGUCUGAUGUGAAAGCCCCCGGCUCAACCGGGGAGGGUCAUUGGAAACUGGGAGACUUGAGUGCAGAAGAGGAGAGUGGAAUUCCAUGUGUAGCGGUGAAAUGCGUAGAUAUAUGGAGGAACACCAGUGGCGAAGGCGGCUCUCUGGUCUGUAACUGACGCUGAGGCUCGAAAGCGUGGGGAGCAAACAGG